GACGUAGGAGGCGAGCGUUGUCCGGAUUUACUGGGCGUAAAGCGCGCGCAGGCGGCCCUGGGCGCUGCCGGUGAAAGCUCCCGGCUUACCUGGGAGAGGUUCGGCAGGACGGCAGGGCUGGAGGGUGGGAGAGGUCGGUGGAAUUCCCGGUGUAGUGGUGAAAUGCGUAGAGAUCGGGAGGAACACCCGUAGCGAAGGCGGCCGACUGGACCACACCUGACGCUGAGGCGCGAAGGCCAGGGGAGCGAACGGG
Molecule: ribosomal RNA, 253 nt
Filed under: uncultured bacterium
Lineage: Bacteria
Description: partial 16S ribosomal RNA
Rfam family: Bacterial small subunit ribosomal RNA
Source: RNAcentral